Molecule: transfer RNA, 87 nt
Filed under: Salipiger mucosus DSM 16094
Lineage: Bacteria; Pseudomonadati; Pseudomonadota; Alphaproteobacteria; Rhodobacterales; Roseobacteraceae
Rfam family: tRNA
About the family: Transfer RNA (tRNA) molecules are approximately 80 nucleotides in length.
Source: Rfam by way of RNAcentral
GGAGGCGUGGCCGAGUGGUCGAAGGCGCUCCCCUGCUAAGGGAGUAGGCCCGGAAGGGUCUCGAGGGUUCGAAUCCCUUCGUCUCCG